Molecule: microRNA precursor, 169 nt
Filed under: Medicago truncatula (barrel medic)
Lineage: Eukaryota; Viridiplantae; Streptophyta; Magnoliopsida; Fabales; Fabaceae
Description: MIR2619 microRNA precursor family
Rfam family: MIR2619 microRNA precursor family
Source: Rfam by way of RNAcentral
AAACUGCCCCUUAAGUUUUGCAACUGUAGCCGUUUUGGCCUCCAGAGCCAAUUUUUGGUAAAAAAAAACACGUGGCACCUCACUUAGGGUGUCACGUCAGUGUAGACCGAAUCAAAAUUGACUUUGGGGGGCCAAAACUGCCACAUAUGCAAAAUUUAGGGGGCGGUUU